GACGAACGCUGGCGGCGUGCUUAACACAUGCAAGUCGAACGGAAAGGCCCUGCUUUUGUGGGGUGCUCGAGUGGCGAACGGGUGAGUAACACGUGAGUAACCUGCCCUUUACUUUGGGAUAACUUCAGGAAACUGGGGCUAAUACCGGAUAGGAGCUCCUGCUGCAUGGUGGGGGUUGGAAAGUUUCGGCGGUUGGGGAUGGACUCGCGGCUUAUCAGCUUGUUGGUGGGGUAGUGGCUUACCAAGGCUUUGACGGGUACCCGGCCUGAGAGGGUGACCGGCCACAUGGGGCCUGAGAUACGGCCCAGAAUCCUACGGGAGGCAGAAGGGGGGAAUAUUGAACAAUGGGCGGAAGCCUGAUGCAGCAACGCCGCGUGCGGGAUGACGGCCUUCGAGUUGUAAACCGCUUUCGCCUGUGACGAAGCGUGAGUGACGGUAAUGGGUAAAGAAGCACCGGCUAACUACGUG
RNAcentral lists this ribosomal RNA (468 nucleotides) under uncultured bacterium. RNAcentral describes it as "partial 16S ribosomal RNA". It matches the Rfam family "Bacterial small subunit ribosomal RNA", at positions 28 to 507 of the family's 1533-position model. The record is from RNAcentral.